GAGUUUGAUCUUGGCUCAGGAUGAACGCUGGCGGCGUGCUUAACACAUGCAAGUCGAGCGAAGCGAAUCUUCGGAAGUUUUCGGAUGGAAGAGGAUUUGACUUAGCGGCGGACGGGUGAGUAACGCGUGGGUAACCUGCCUUACACUGGGGGAUAACAGUUAGAAAUGACUGCUAAUACCGCAUAAGCGCACAGGGCCGCAUGGCCUGGUGUGAAAAACUCCGGUGGUGUAAGAUGGACCCGCGUCUGAUUAGGUAGUUGGCGGGGUAACGGCCCACCAAGCCGACGAUCAGUAGCCGACCUGAGAGGGUGACCGGCCAC
This 320-nucleotide ribosomal RNA is filed under the name uncultured bacterium. Its description in RNAcentral is "bacterial SSU rRNA". It matches the Rfam family "Bacterial small subunit ribosomal RNA", at positions 9 to 311 of the family's 1533-position model. The record is from RNAcentral.